AACGAACGCUGGUGGCAGGCUUAACACAUGCAAGUCGAACGCCCCGCAAGGGGAGUGGCAGACGGGUGAGUAACGCGUGGGAACGUACCUUUCAGUUCGGAAUAACUCAGGGAAACUUGUGCUAAUACCGGAUACGCCCGUAAGGGGAAAGAUUUAUCGCUGAAAGAUCGGCCCGCGUUGGAUUAGCUAGUUGGUGGGGUAAUGGCCUACCAAGGCGACGAUCCAUAGCUGGUCUGAGAGGGUGAUCAGCCACACUGGGACUGAGACACGGCCCAGACUCCUACGGGAGGCAGCAGUGGGGAAUAUUGGACAAUGGGCGAAAGCCUGAUCCAGCCAUGCCGCGUGAGUGAUGAAGGCCCUAGGGUUGUAAAGCUCUUUCACCGAUGAAGAUAAUGACGGUAGUCGGAGAAGAAGCCCCGGCUAACUUCGUGCCAGCAGCCGCCGUAA
RNAcentral lists this ribosomal RNA (447 nucleotides) under uncultured bacterium. Its description in RNAcentral is "partial 16S ribosomal RNA". It matches the Rfam family "Bacterial small subunit ribosomal RNA", at positions 29 to 523 of the family's 1533-position model. The record is from RNAcentral.